AUUUAGCAAUGAGGAUUAGUUUGCACAGCUUGAAUGCCAGUUCUGCUUCAGAAAAUUCUUGAUUGAAAAAGCUGUUUAUUAAAUCCUGAGCUAAAU
This is a non-coding RNA of Spinacia oleracea (spinach), 96 nucleotides long. The record is from Rfam. NCBI's taxonomy places the organism in Eukaryota, Viridiplantae, Streptophyta, Magnoliopsida, Caryophyllales, Amaranthaceae.